CGGGGGAAAAAUUUAUUGCUAUUAGAUGAGCCUAUAUUAGAUUAGCUAGUUGGUGGAGUAAUAGCCUACCAAGGCAAUGAUCUAUAGCUGAUCUGAGAGGAUGAUCAGCCACACUGGAACUGAGAUACGGUCCAGACUCCUACGGGAGGCAGCAGUGGGGAAUAUUGGACAAUGGGCGAAAGCCUGAUCCAGCCAUGCCGCAUGAGUGAAGAAGGCCUUUGGGUUGUAAAGCUCUUUUAGUGAGGAAGAUAAUGACGGUACUCACAGAAGAAGUCCUGGCUAACUCCGUGCCAGCAGCCGCGGUAAUACGGAGAGGGCUAGCGUUAUUCGGAAUUAUUGGGCGUAAAGGGCGCGUAGGCUGAUUAAUAAGUUAAAAGUGAAAUCCCGAGGCUUAACCUUGGAAUUGCUUUUAAAACUAUUAAUCUAGAGAUUGAAAGAGGAUAGAGGAAUUCCUGAUGUAGAGGUAAAAUUCGUAAAUAUUAGGAGGAACACCAGUGGCGAAGGCGUCUAUCUGGUUCAAAUCUGACGCUGAAGCGCGAAGGCGUGGAGAGCAAACAGGAUUAGAUACCCUGGUAGUCCACGCUGUAAACGAUGAAUGUUAAAUAUGGGAAGUUUACUUUCUGUAUUACAGCUAACGCGUUAAACAUUCCGCCUGGGGACUACGGUCGCAAGAUUAAAACUCAAAGGAAUUGACGGGGACCCGCACAAGCGGUGGAGCAUGUGGUUUAAUUCGAUGCAACGCGAAAAACCUUACCACUUCUUGACAUGAAAUCAUACCUAUUCA
This 784-nucleotide ribosomal RNA is filed under the name Wolbachia endosymbiont of Balloniscus glaber. RNAcentral's name for it is "bacterial SSU rRNA". It matches the Rfam family "Bacterial small subunit ribosomal RNA", at positions 197 to 1004 of the family's 1533-position model. Lineage: Bacteria; Pseudomonadati; Pseudomonadota; Alphaproteobacteria; Rickettsiales; Anaplasmataceae. The record is from RNAcentral.